This 1303-nucleotide long non-coding RNA is filed under the name Heterocephalus glaber (naked mole-rat). Its description in RNAcentral is "lncRNA (ENSHGLG00100037420.1)". Lineage: Eukaryota; Metazoa; Chordata; Mammalia; Rodentia; Bathyergidae. The record is from RNAcentral.
CUCUAUGACGUAGGGACAAAGCUCUCUCAUUCGUCGCGGAUGGUCGAGUCACUCUACUCGUUUGCGUCAUAGUUCUGUGUGAUUGGCUGAGACUACUUGAGGCCUUUUCCUAGUCCCCGCCCUCGGGGAGCAGUUAGUUUAGAUUAAGCGAGAGGUCGUGGUGGAAAAGCCCCAGCCGGAAGGAAUUUGUGGCAGGGGAGGAGUGAAAGGCGGGGCGCAUGCGUACAUGGGGCCAAGGGGCUCCUGCGCCUCUUCCUUCACUAACGACGCCCGGGUCCUGAUGGGAAACUUUAGAUGACGUCAAUCUUUGUUCCUGUGGUAACCAGGAACCUGGGGGUGGGGACGCAGGUUGUGCUGGCAAACUGAUCCGUUGGCGCGGCAGCACUUGGGAGGCUGAGGCAGACAGAUUGCUGUGAGUUCGAGGCCAUCCUGAACUAUAUAGCGAGACCCUGUCUCAAAACAAAAACAAUGUCUGACGCUGGGCGUGGUGGCACAAGUCUGAUCCUAGCACUUGGAAGGCUGAGGCUGGAAGAGCAGGAGUUUGAGACCUACCCGGCCAAUUUAGGAAAACCCUGUCUCACUAAAAGGGGAUAGGGAAGUAACAGCGCUCUUUGGCUUGGCUUCCCAACUCUGGUGGCGGAAGAGACAGUGUCUGAACUGAGGGAACACCGUACAAAAUUAGAUGAAGAAAGCAUAAAUGGUGCACCAAUGAGACGUAAAAAGAAGAAAGCUGGCAAGCCUGUAAUCUCAGCACUCCAGAGGCUGAGGCAGGAGGUCUCAAGUUCCAGGCCAGCCUGGGCCACAUAGUCAAUUCAAGGCCAGCCUGAACUACAAAACAAGCUCUUGUCUCCAAAAAAAAAAAAAAAAGGACAGGUAAAGGACCAAUAUUUAGUACUUACCUAGCAUCCAGUAAGCCUUAGGUUCCAACCCCAGCAUCACAAAACAAACAUACAAAAAAGCCAAUAUUUAUAACACAAGUCUUUUUUAAAAAAUUUUUUCUGUGAACAUUUUUGUAGUACCUAUUUGCAGUACAUGAUGAUUAUUUUCGUCGUGGAGUUGGUGCUCAUACAUCCUCUGCCAGAAAUUUUUUUGUUUUUGAGAUGGUCUCGUUAUGUAGUCUAGGCUGGCCUCAAACUCGAGGCAAUCCUCCUGCUUCAGUUUCCUGAGUACUGGGAUUACAGGCAUGCGCCACCAUACCAGAAGUCUUAAACGCUAAUUAGAAAAAGGUCUGUAAUCACAGCACCUCUGGAAGGCUUAGGCAGAAGGAUCCCAAGUUUGAACCUAGUCUGGGCAGUUUAGUAAC